This 2522-nucleotide long non-coding RNA is filed under the name Lupinus angustifolius (narrow-leaved blue lupine). RNAcentral's name for it is "long non-coding RNA (LANG_LNC000374)". The record is from RNAcentral. Lineage: Eukaryota; Viridiplantae; Streptophyta; Magnoliopsida; Fabales; Fabaceae.
GAAAAUUGUUGAUCCAGUGAAGAUAGAGAGAUGGGCUGUGGUCAACUUUUCAGCACGCUGCAAUAUGCAAGGGCUUGUGAGGGACCUGAUCAAAUGUGGAAAUAUGAAGGGAAUAGUGAGUUCUUUGACUGCAUAUUGACUUUGGACUAAAGAUUGCAGCUGGCUUAAUGUAAAUGUCUUGUUAUUUACGUGUGGCAGAUGGUAGAAGACCCUUUUGAUGUAUUUGAAGAAAAUCCUCAGUUUAGGCGUGCCCCUCCUGUGGUUAGGGUAGAGAAGAUGUUCGAGCAUAUGAUGUCUAAACUUCCAGGGGCACCCAAGUUUCUUCUUUGUCUGCUUCCUGAGCGGAAAAAUUCUGAUCUUUAUGGUUAGUGAUAUAACUGAACAGAAUAUGGUUAUUUAUUUUACUGUGCAUGUGUUAAGUGCUUGUAUUGAUGAAAUUUUAAUUGGACAUUUCCAGGACCGUGGAAGAAGAAGAAUCUUGCUGACUAUGGUAUUGUUACUCAGUGCAUUGCACCUACCAAGGUCAAUGAUCAGUAUCUGACUAAUGUUUUGCUGAAAAUCAACGCUAAGGUAUACAUACUUUUUAUUUGGAAUAGUAGUUAUUGUCUGUGUGCAGCUGUGUUAUGUCUCGUACCUUCAAAUUUGUAUAAUUUAUGUUUGAAUUCUAUUUUAAUUAUAUCCUCUAAUUUUCUUAGACGUCUCUACCACAAUGAUUAUUACUCCUGGGCCUGUGGUCGACUUCUUAAUUGCUAAUCAAAAUGUGAGAGAUCCCUUUUCACUUGACUGGGCAAAGGUAACUAAAUUCUUUGAUCAUUCCUUAUUGUUCAUGAUUUAUGUUGAAGUCAAAGCAAUAUAAUCCUUUAUUUAUUUCCUUAAACAGGCCAAAAGAACUCUGAAAAAUCUCAGGAUCAAAACUAGCCCAUCCAAUCAGGAGUUCAAGAUUUCUGGGCUCAGUGAACUCCCAUGCAAAGAGCAAAUGUAUUCUUCUAUUUAUUCAGUUAAACCCCUUUGAUAGGGUGACCAAUUAUUAUUUUUCUUCUGUGGUUGUAAUCCUAGAGUUGCUUCUUACAUUAUGAAUAAGGUUCUUAAUGAAGCUGUGGGCAUUGUAGGUUUACUAUGAAGGUCAAAGGGGGAGCUGAUGAUGCUACUGAGGAAGUGACAGUUUAUGACUAUUUUGUUAAACAUAGAAACAUUCAACUUCGAUACUCAGCUGAUCUCCCCUGUAUUAAUGUUGGCAAGCCCAAACGACCAACUUACUUCCCCCUUGAGGUAGUUAAGUUCUCUGUUCUUGUGUGUAUUACUGAAAAUUGAUUGCUACAGGUUGGUUUUAAAGGCUACAUAUUAUUUUAAUAGGAUAUUAAUGUUGUUGCUUCCAUUUGUGUUUUUCCUAGCUUUGCUCCUUGGUGUCUUUGCAACGCUAUACAAAGGCACUUUCCACUCUUCAAAGAGCUUCUUUAGUGGAGAAGUCCAGGCAGAAGCCACAAGAGCGAAUGAGGGUUCUCUCUGAUGUACGUCUUUCCUAAAUUUUGAGUCUAAAGAUUCCAAUUUUAAUAUGACUGUGUUUUAGUGACCUUAUUUUUCUUUGUGUAGGCUCUGAAAAUAAGCAACUAUGGCGCUGAACCCAUGCUACGCAAUUGUGGUGUUCAGAUAAACCCCAGCUUUACUCAAGUGGAUGGCCGUGUUUUGCAAGCUCCAAGGGUAUUUUUUAUUCAUUUGGUUGUUUUUUGUUGUGUAUUGUCAUGUGUUUCCUUUUAAAACAAAAUACUUGUUGGCUUUUCUUGAUGGUACUGAGAAAUGUAUAAAUAUGCUUUUGCAUCUUUGACUGUACUAUAAUUCCAUAGCAAUUUAUUAUUUUCUUUAGUAACUCCUUCUGGAGUUGAAACUAAAUGGCAGCUUUCUCUAUUUGUUUUUUUUAAAGUGUACUCCAACAUGGAAAUUUGUUUGAAAUUCUAUGUUGACCUUGUUAAAUGAAUUUUUUUCAUUAAAUCUCCAUGAACAGUUGAAGUUUGGCAAUGGGGAGGAUUUCAAUCCAAGGAAUGGGAGAUGGAAUUUUAAUAAUAAGGUAAUUAAUUCAAUUCCGAUUCUUUUUGUUGUUGGUAUGAUCCAAUAGAUCAAAAAAUUGAUUAGGAGUUUCUAAUGACUUGUCUGCUUCUGCAGAAAAUUGUUGAUCCAGUGAAGAUAGAGAGAUGGGCUGUGGUCAACUUUUCAGCACGCUGCAAUAUGCAAGGGCUUGUGAGGGACCUGAUCAAAUGUGGAAAUAUGAAGGGAAUAGUGAGUUCUUUGACUGCAUAUUGACUUUGGACUAAAGAUUGCAGCUGGCUUAAUGUAAAUGUCUUGUUAUUUACGUGUGGCAGAUGGUAGAAGACCCUUUUGAUGUAUUUGAAGAAAAUCCUCAGUUUAGGCGUGCCCCUCCUGUGGUUAGGGUAGAGAAGAUGUUCGAGCAUAUGAUGUCUAAACUUCCAGGGGCACCCAAGUUUCUUCUUUGUCUGCUUCCUGAGCGGAAAAAUUCUGAUCUUUAUGGU